GAUGAACGCUGGCGGCGUGCCUAAUACAUGCAAGUCGAACGCUGGAAAUCUAGCUUGCUAGAUUGAAGGAGUGGCGAACGGGUGAGUAAUACAUAAGCAACCUACCCACGAAGGCUGGGAUAAUCUCUGGAAACGGGGACUAAUACCGGAUAGGUAAUCGGAAGGCAUCUUCUGAUUAUUAAAGGUUAAAAACACUGGUGGAUGGGCUUAUGGCGCAUUAGUUAGUUGGUGAGGUAACGGCCCACCAAGACGAUGAUGCGUAGCCGGCCUGAGAGGGUGAACGGCCACAUUGGGACUGAGACACGGCCCAGACUCCUACGGGAGGCAGCAGUAGGGAAUUUUCGGCAAUGGGGGAAACCCUGACCGAGCAACGCCGCGUGAGUGAUGACGGCCUUCGGGUUGUAAAGCUCUGUUGUAAGGGAAGAACGGUAGAUAGAGAAUAUCUAAAUGACGGUACCUGACCAGAAAGCCACGGCUAACUACGUG
This 486-nucleotide ribosomal RNA is filed under the name uncultured bacterium. RNAcentral's name for it is "partial 16S ribosomal RNA". It matches the Rfam family "Bacterial small subunit ribosomal RNA", at positions 28 to 507 of the family's 1533-position model. The record is from RNAcentral.